CACAAAUGCUAAACGUAAGAAAAUAAUUAAACAACUGGAAGUUGACUUCUAGCUUUGUUAGACGUAUACGGCGUAUAAAUCGUUUGAAUAUGUUGGAAAAUUGUAAAAGAAAAAUGAAAGGGAUUUAUUUAAUAACAACUUAAAGAAUUUCGGAAGGCGAAAAAAUAUGACUCAAGUCCUGAUGCCUUAGCAGGUCUAAACUUAUUGAGAUGGCAUUGUUAUUAAAAUGGCAGCUCUAAAAUUAUUACUUGAAAUAAAAGUCAGAUUAAUUUUUUAUUCAUACACAACUUCAAAUGUUGUGUACACGAUGAAACUACUACUUUCUUAUGUUCUACCAUCCUGAAUAAAAAUCUACAAAGUACUUAUUGACCAACAUCUUUCCGUACCGAAAUACUUAGUUGGUGGUGGUAGGAUUUGAACUCGUAUCGUUCAACAGUCCGGGUUUUAACUUUUUGUUUGAUGCUCUAACUCUUAUCACGGUUACCGUGAUAAAUACCACAGGAAUGUUUAAUUAAUUACAAUAUUAUCGUAGAGGGAAGUAAUAAAGGGCUUGGUAAUACGGUAACAGGUGUUAAAAAUGUAAUAAAGGGCUUGGUAAUAGCGGUAACAGGUGUUAAAAAUGAUAGUUUUGAAGUACAAAAUAUAACCACAGGUGUAAGAUUAUUUCUGCAUGGCUUGAAAUAUUAUUUUAUUACUGCAUCAUUUGAAUAAAGGAUAGAUAUUUGUAAGAAUAUAAUAGAACUAUUGACAGUUUUAAUUUAUGAAUUAACAAAAAAAUUUUAAAAUACAAGAUUUUUAUAAAUGAGUUAUAAUUCUGAUGUGAUUUUUUAAUUAAUUUUUUAAUGUUAAAAUUAAUAUUUUUUCAAAAAGCAUACAUUAAAACACCAAGUGUUCGCCAUGCAAUCUAGCAUUCACCACUUACUCACUAAAAAACAUUCAGAGCAAAAACUAAUUGCUGGAUUAAAACUCCAAGAAACUCUGAAGUUUUCUUACAAAAUCUGUGACGAUAUCUGACGAUUGUAGCUUUAAAAAAAGAGGCGCAGGAUUUAUUGAAAAAUAAACUCUGCCUAAAAAUCCUUAAAAACGUAAUGACAUAUUUUAAAAUAAACCUUUGAAUAAUCAUACAAAAACAUAUUAUUUAUAAUCUAAUUGGAUUUUUUCUUUCUCAGGCGAAUACUAGAAUGCAGCAAUACCUUACAAACAUAAAAUUAGUGGAUGAAUUUGAAAAGGUGGGCGUGGAAUGGUGGUGGCGAACACUGGAAGCAAAAAAACCCCAUGCUAAUAAUCGUCACCAAAAUAAAUUCAAAACAAUUUAAUUUAUCGUUAAAUAUAAAUAUAUAUAUAUAUAUAUAUAUAUAUAUAUAUAUAUAUAUAUAUAUAUAUAUAUAUAUAUAUAUAUAUAUAUAUAUAUAUAUAUAUAUAUAUAUAUAUAUAUAUAUAUAUAUAUAUAUAUAUAUAUAUAGUAUUUUAUUGUUUUAUUUUUAUUCAAUUUUUUAGUGAUCUCAGAACCAAACUGGAGGCUGCAAAUUAUCUUGGUAUACCAAGAACCAUCUAAGUGAUAAGGCUCCUAUUGCCAAAAAGAUGGGGCCAGCAACUUUUUGACUAUAUUUUACUCUCAUCUAUUAAAAGACUGUCCAGUUUUUUAAUAGAUGAGAGGCUAGUAAAUAGAGACAAGCGAUAUGAGUUUGGCAGAUCCUGUACCAUCACGUGUUCCCCUCAGCCUCAGCUAAAAAAGUUGCAGGACCCAUCCUUUUGGCGAUAGGAGCCUUUCCACUGAGUUUUUUGCUUUAAAUGGUUCAUGGUACUUUAAAACCUGGCGAUCGGUGGUUAGUAAAUAUAAUAAUUACAAUAUUUAUACAAUAUAUAACAAGUUACUAUACUAGUAUUUGUUUAUAUAGUAUUUUACGUUUAGCCUAUAGUGACAGGUUCAAUAAUAUUAGCUAGAGUACCUUAAUUGAUACAAUAAUUAAAUAAAUUAUUACCUUAAAGAGUGAAUAAAUACAAAUUAAUAGUUAUAUAGGUCUAAAAUAUAGUUUGUAUUAAUUAAUUUUAAAAGUAAGCUAGAUUACUAACUUUAUUAUUUGUUUUUAUAUUUGUAGCUAACUGUCGGAAAAUGGUUGCCUAGACAUUCUAUAUGAGCCUAACUGGUUGCCUAGACAUUCUAUAUGAGCCUAACUAAUUCUUUGCAGCUCAAAAAGCUUAAAAAAUGUUUUUUACAGCAUCUUCUAAAAAGACAAGGAUAGAAUUGCUGCUUUAGCUAAAGCUCGCACUGUUGCGUAAGAGCUCUAUUUUGACGUCAGAUCUAGUUGUAUCGAUUCUGGCGGAAAUAAAAGAAAAAAAGAAACACCAAGAGCGAUCAAAAGUGGAAAGAAUGAACAAAAGCUUGGCAACUGAGAUGACGAAGAGGUCAAAGCCCCCAGUCAAAGAAAAAAGUAGUGUAUGCUAAGCCUAAUUCAAAAUGUAAUUAAAUCUAUUAAUGUCA
Long non-coding RNA from Hydra vulgaris (swiftwater hydra), 2482 nucleotides. RefSeq lists it as uncharacterized. The record is from RefSeq and is a predicted model, not a curated record. Lineage: Eukaryota; Metazoa; Cnidaria; Hydrozoa; Anthoathecata; Hydridae.